Homo sapiens (human) is the source of this 2718-nucleotide long non-coding RNA. Ensembl annotates it as SMIM2 antisense RNA 1. Its record names the gene SMIM2-AS1. The record is from Ensembl. Lineage: Eukaryota; Metazoa; Chordata; Mammalia; Primates; Hominidae.
GAGGUUUACUGUGUUUGGCAUCGCAGUUCCGACGGCAGCCGCCGUUUCGCGACCCACGGCGGACUUGCAUAAACACUUUCUAGUUGGAAUCUCACCCUGUGAGGUGGGCAAGGUAGUGAUAUUCCUGUUUGACGCCGACAGAAAUAAGAGAGAUUGACUCUCAGAACCAUGUGGCGGGAUUUUAAAGGAGGAUCUUAACAGUGGCUCGGACAGACCCGUGUUUUCUGCUCCUAGCAUUAACUACGUCGUUAAACCCUUCUGAAUUUAUUUCGUCUGUGAAAUGGGGAAAAGAUAGCCACCUUGCAUAACUGGUGAAGAAUUCGUAAACUGACAGCAGAAUCUAGUAAGAGGACUGGCCCGUGGUCGGCUCUUAAUGGUGUGUAUGGGGCUAUGAACAUUCCCAGGUCUUCUGACCUCUAGUCUGGGACUCUUUCUGCUAAACUAGGGAUUCUUAGAGGUCCAGAGACUUCGGGAGAUCCAGGGGCAUCUUCAAGGGGGUCCCUGAGUUCUAAACUGCAGAGGAACACUCUUAAGAGAGAUAAUAAAUAUUUCCACCACAUCUGUUAUGGAUAAUAUAUAUUUUGUCAUCUAUUUGCCAGAGACUGUUGUAAGUGCUUGUAUACAUUAAGUCACUUAAUCUUUACAGUGAACACUAAGGUACAUCCUAUUAUAAUUCCCAUUUUACAGAGACGUUAAAUACCUAUCUAGCUAAAAAAUGUGGGAGCUGUUUUACAUUCACGCAAUCUAGCUGAUAAAGCCACACACCUUAAUGUUUGUACUAUAUAUUAUUGUGCAAGAGGUGUAUUUGAUAAUGAUUCUUGUGUCACCAUUUACAAGAUGCUUCUGGCUUUUAUUAAACUCUCAAAGGGCAGGAAAAGAAAAAAAAAUACAGAGGAACCUAAACCCUAAAUCAGAGACAGACUACAUGCAGAUAUACAAAUGGAUGAUAAGAAACCAAAGUUGUGGGUACCAUGUUUGCAAUUCCGUUUUAGCUGAGUGCUUUGGACUAUCACGUCCCUCAGUGGCUCCCUGGAGGAAGAAUGAUUGAAUGACAGGAUAGGAAUGGAAUGUAGCCAUCAUCUUAUCUGACCACACAGACACCUCCCAGCAGAUGAAUGCAUCACCUCCUCAUGAUAAUUUUGAAGACUUUCUGAGAAAGUGAUAAUAUUAGCCUAUUACCUCACAACCACAAGGAACACUACAGUGACUACAAACCCUAUGUGCCUCAUUCAACAGGUGUCACAGAAUAAAGAAAAAGACUGGGAGAGAGAUGGGAGCUGAUAGACCAGAGGAGACCAAAGACUGAAACUGAAGACUAAACCAUGGAAAUUGGGAACAAGCACUUACUCGCUUAGAGGGUGAAAAAAGUGAAUUUGCCUACAGGGCCAAUUUGGAAGCACCUCUCCCUGGAAGCCAGUCAAUGAAGAGCCAUUGGAGGAUUUUAAAUAAGGAACCGAAAAAUGGAGUCUGAAAAUAGAGGCGCAGAGACCGGUUCUUCCCCAAACCAUCAUGGACCAGUUGGACUCUGAGAAGAAAAGUUUCUGAUCUUUAGUUCAUUCUUCCAACUCUCUAGAAAGCAGGAAAACUGAGAAUGAAAAAUUCUAAAUUACUCAGGACUCAUGGGUUGCCAAUAGAAGAAAUACAUCUUAAACUAGCUUAAGCCUGAAAGGGAAAUGUAUUUGUUCAUGUAACUGAACCAUAACGAAGGAUGGUGGACUGAGGGACCUGAAAACACCCUCAGGACUCCCUCCCUCUCCUUUGUGCUCCUGUCUGAUGCCGUCUUCCCAGACCUGCUCACUCUCCAUAAGGUGGGGAUGUGGCCAUCAGCAACGUGUACUUCCCCGAAGCUUGUGACCUGAGUAGAUAGGCAUCUCCCAACCCACAAGGAUUGAAAAGUUCCUCUAGGAAUUAUGUGGAUUGGCCCAUUCACUAUGACAUGUUCCCCCUAAGCAGCUAAAGGAACUGGGUCUGUUACCAGAAGAGGUGGGAGAGGGGUGCUAGGCAGAUUGAACAACAGCCACUACAACAUCUGAGGAGGAGACCUCCGUGAAGGCCACCAAGUCUGCUAGCAGAUAUUUCCUCCCUCGGAUCUCUCUCCCUGUCCUCACAGUCUCAUAAGUGAGGAUUAAAUACUACAUGUGGCCUAGGAGAUCUUAGACCCUCCACACGAAGAUAUAGUAACAAUCAACAUCCUAGUGUUCUGGCAGAGAAAAAAUCAGAAAGAAUCGUUUGCCUGAUUUUUCCAUCAAUACCAAUAAUUAAUUAGAGAUGAAAUUUGUGAUGGACUCAGAGAAUUAGAGAAGAUCUAAGGGAAUCUAGAUGAUUUCCUACCCCUAACCAGAGCCUCACAAAAAAGGGUGAAGAUCUAUGGCCGUCUUGCGUUUGGUGUGAGGCUGGACAAGGAAGUUCCUAAGGUCCUUUAGACUCUGUGAGAUCAUGAGUCCGUAAAACCCUUCCAACUUGAAAUUAGUUGAUUCCUUCCUUAAAUUUUCUGGGACAUUCCCCCACUCCCUCCACUCUUAUUAGCUGAUUUUACUGACCAAUAGGCCUUGAAGUUGGGCGUUCCAUCUAGAUGUCUCACAUCAACUCACCUUUUGCAAAUUAAGCCCAUACCCUUAAAGAGGGGAAUUCUCAAGCCAUUAGAAACUAGAGAGUCAGCUGGGCAUGGUGGCUCACGCCUGUAAUCCCAGAACUUUGGGAGGCCAAGGUGGGUGGAUC